AAGAGAUUUUUAAGAAGCUGCUAACUAUCUUUUAAACAUUAAAUUGUUAAUCUCUUA
RNAcentral lists this transfer RNA (57 nucleotides) under Perkinsiella saccharicida. RNAcentral's name for it is "tRNA-Ser". Lineage: Eukaryota; Metazoa; Arthropoda; Insecta; Hemiptera; Delphacidae. The record is from RNAcentral.